RNAcentral lists this ribosomal RNA (301 nucleotides) under uncultured bacterium. RNAcentral describes it as "partial 16S ribosomal RNA". It matches the Rfam family "Bacterial small subunit ribosomal RNA", at positions 509 to 809 of the family's 1533-position model. The record is from RNAcentral.
CAGUCGCCGCGGGAAUACGUAGGGUGCGAGCGUUAAUCGGAAUUACUGGGCGUAAAGCGUGCGCAGGCGGUUGUGUAAGACAGGUGUGAAAUCCCCGGGCUUAACCUGGGAACUGCGCCUAUGACUGCACAGCUAGAGUAUGGCAGAGGGGGGUGGAAUUCCACGUGUAGCAGUGAAAUGCGUAGAGAUGUGGAGGAACACCGAUGGCGAAGGCAGCCCCCUGGGCCAAUACUGACGCUCAUGCACGAAAGCGUGGGGAGCAAACAGGAUUAGAUACCCCCGUAGUCCCUGUCUCUUAUAA